RNAcentral lists this ribosomal RNA (137 nucleotides) under uncultured eukaryote. RNAcentral's name for it is "partial 18S ribosomal RNA". It matches the Rfam family "Eukaryotic small subunit ribosomal RNA", at positions 1299 to 1458 of the family's 1831-position model. The record is from RNAcentral.
UGGUGGAGUGAUUUGUCUGGUUAAUUCCGAUAACGAACGAGACCUUAACCUGCUAAAUAGUCAUACUAACUCUGGUUGGUACUGACUUCUUAGAGGGACUGACUACGUUUAGUGGUCGGAAGUUUGAGGCAAUAACA